This 1110-nucleotide long non-coding RNA is filed under the name Ananas comosus (pineapple). Its description in RNAcentral is "long non-coding RNA (ACOM_LNC013100)". Lineage: Eukaryota; Viridiplantae; Streptophyta; Magnoliopsida; Poales; Bromeliaceae. The record is from RNAcentral.
AUAAAAAAAUGAUAAAAUUAAUAAAUUAUAUUUAUAAUAGCAGUAAAAAUUGAGAAUUAAAAUAUCAUAUGUCUCAUAAUUCGAAUCGGAAUUAUAUUUAAUUAAAGUAUGAGCUCUAAAAUAUCACAUGCCUUAUAGUUUGAAUAAAAAACAAAAUUCAUUAAAAUUCCAGUACCAGAAUGUCACACGUCUUAUAAUUUGAAGACCAAAAGUAUAAUUUACCCUUUUAUAUUUUAAUUUUAUUUCAUAUAAAGAGAGAGUUGAGUAUCGGUCAGUUUUGUUCAAUCAGUAAUUUUAUUCGAGUAAAGAAUAAGUUAAACUAUUUAAUAAAUUUUAAAAUACCUAUUUGUUAAAAUUAAAAGUUGACCAAUCAUAUUUUAGAUAUUUCAAAAUAUUUUAAAUGUGAAAUUGAUCGCUCAUAAACUAUAAAUAUAGUAUUAAAGUAUUAAAGUUUGAUAUUAAAUCAAAAUAAAAAUAUAUAGAAUGUUUUGAACCACGAACUAUUUUGAAUCAGCUAUCUAACUUUUCAAAAUUUUAUUUUUACUAUUUGACAUUUUUAUAUAUUAGAUUUGAAUCGGUUAAUGAUAAUUUGACUUCAAAUUUGAUGAAUCGUUUAGCUUUACAGAUUUAGCUAGUAUAUUUCAUAUAAUUUUUGCAACUAAAUUUAUUAAACUAAAUAAUUAAGUUAAACUCCAUCAAUAUUUUUUUAUUUUUUAUUAUACAAUUUAUAUCUAAUUAAUUAAUAUUAUUAAAAUNUAUAUAUAUUAAAUAUAAAUUUUAUUUUAAUAAUAUUAAUUAAUUAGAUAUAAAUUGUAUAAUAAAAAAUAAAAAAAUAUUGAUGAAUCGUUUAGCUUUACAGAUUUAGCUAGUAUAUUUCAUAUAAUUUUUGCAACUAAAUUUAUUAAACUAAAUAAUUAAGUUAAACUCCAUCAAUAUUUUUUUAUUUUUUAUUAUACAAUUUAUAUCUAAUUAAUUAAUAUUAUUAAAAUAAAAUUUAUAUUUAAUAUAUAUAUUUUAAACUAUUUUAAAAAUUAUGUAUAAAUAAUUAUAUAUUUUAACAUUUUAUAAUAAAAAAGAAAAAAAAAUAAAUUGAGCCCCCGAGGGGCCCAC